UACAGAGGCCUCGAGCGUUAAUCGGAGUCACUGGGCUUAAAGGGUGCGUAGGCUGGUCCGCAAGUGCCUUGUGAAAUCCCACGGCUCAACCGUGGAAUGGCUCGGCAGACUGCGGGUCUUGAGGUCGGUAGGGGUCGCUGGAACUCUAGGUGGAGCGGUGAAAUGCGUAGAUAUCUAGAGGAACGCCAAAGGUGAAGACAAGCGACUGGGCCGAUUCUGACGCUGAGGCACGAAAGCGUGGGGAGCGAACAGG
Molecule: ribosomal RNA, 253 nt
Filed under: uncultured bacterium
Lineage: Bacteria
Description: partial 16S ribosomal RNA
Rfam family: Bacterial small subunit ribosomal RNA
Source: RNAcentral